This is a long non-coding RNA of Numida meleagris (helmeted guineafowl), 746 nucleotides long. RefSeq lists it as uncharacterized. The transcript is spliced from 2 exons. Lineage: Eukaryota; Metazoa; Chordata; Aves; Galliformes; Numididae. The record is from RefSeq and is a predicted model, not a curated record.
GGCAGCAUUUCACACCGAUCUUGGCAGGGCAAGAGCAGGACGGUUUGCUCCCCAUGUGGGAUUUGUUCUACAGUCGCUGCAGUGCGGGGUGUUGUCCUUACCUGGCUGUCUGUGCUGCUGUCUCUCUGGCUGUGCAUUGUAACCUAAAGUGGAUCAGAGAUAGUUGCAAGUGACUCCAACGUUACCAUCUAAAGCUGAGUUAAUGGAGGUAAAUGGCACUUACAUUUCUGAUUCUCUCAACAGAAGAGCUGUUUGUCUUUAUGAUGGCUGGCACUUAACCACAAACCAAGACACUUCCAGUCUGGCAUUCAUCUCUAGGGUCUGCAGACAGCACCAUGGCUGUGAAGAGUAGGGGCUGCUUGGUGAUGCCAAGCUGAAGGAGAGCCCCCAGUCACUAUCACCAAGCCAUGAACAAUGGUGGGACCAGGCCUGCUCCAGGGCCCAACAGACGCUUAGAUAAAUAUCAUUCAAAUCAUGGAGUCUGAUUCAUGAGUCAGGAUGAUGGCAGCCCUCCAAAACCUCCUUGCCCAUGGAGAGUGUGUUUGUGUGAGAGAUACAGAGUUUCACUCUACGAAGAGUAAGAAACUGGAAGCCAAGUGAAUUAAAUACAAAGCAGAUAAUUAUGUGUAAUUCAUUUACUGACUAAUGAUUGCACCUGGUACAGAGGUUUAUGAAUUCAUUUCACUCUGCAUAUGUUCUCAAAAACAGUCUCUCUGCACAGGAUAAAAACUAGACCUGUGUUUACA